UACGGGGGAUGCAAGCGUUAUCCGGAUUUAUUGGGUUUAAAGGGUGCGUAGGCGGUCCGGAAAGUCAGCGGUAAAAGCCCGGGGCUCAACCCCGUCGAGCCGUUGAAACUGUCAGACUUGAGUUGGCGAGAAGUACGCGGAAUGCGCGGUGUAGCGGUGAAAUGCAUAGAUAUCGCGCAGAACUCCGAUUGCGAAGGCAGCCUGCUGGACUGUAACUGACGCUGAUGCUCGAAAGUGUGGGUAUCAAACAGG
This 252-nucleotide ribosomal RNA is filed under the name uncultured Bacteroidales bacterium. RNAcentral describes it as "partial 16S ribosomal RNA". It matches the Rfam family "Bacterial small subunit ribosomal RNA", at positions 524 to 776 of the family's 1533-position model. The record is from RNAcentral. Lineage: Bacteria; Pseudomonadati; Bacteroidota; Bacteroidia; Bacteroidales.